This is a ribosomal RNA of 295 nucleotides. It matches the Rfam family "Eukaryotic large subunit ribosomal RNA", at positions 678 to 939 of the family's 3401-position model.
GCAUGUGCGCGAGUCAUUGGGACUCUGAUAAACCUAAAGGCGCAAUGAAAGUAAAGGUCCGCCUCGCGCGGACCGAGGGAGGAUGGGCCCGUCCACGGGCGGGCCCCGCACUCCCGGGGCGUCUCGUUCUCAUCGCGAGAAGAGGCGCACCCAGAGCGUACACGCUGGGACCCGAAAGAUGGUGAACUAUGCCUGGUCAGGACGAAGUCAGGGGAAACCCUGAUGGAGGUCCGUAGCGAUUCUGACGUGCAAAUCGAUCGUCGGAACUGGGUAUAGGGGCGAAAGACUAAUCGAA